AUUUGAAGAGAUAUUGGUUUGAGUCAUACUAUGCAUAUAGAUAAGGGGAAACUCUAAUGUGGAGCUAGAGUGUUAAAGCUGAGUGUGUAAAUGUGUGAAUAACCUGUUCACAAGUGGCCAAUGAAUCCACAGAAGUGCAUAAGACUCCCCAGGAAGAGGAGAGGAAAGAAGAAAUCCACAGGCAAGACUUAGAAGAACAUGGACACACAGAGGUAGAAAUGUGAAGAACCGAUCAUGGGGCCAGUACAGGCAGAGCCAGAAGAGUUUUCUACCAUGAACGUCAAGAAAGGAAAGCGCAGUACAGGCAUGGUGGUACAUACCUGCAAUCCCAACACUCCAGAGGCUGAGGCAGCAGGAUUACCACAAGUUCAAGGCCAGCCUGGACUACACAGUGAGACCUCACAGAGAAAGUGAGGGAAAGGGGGAUACAGACAAACAGAGACAGACAGAAAAGAAAACGAAACAAAAGAAAAGAGCAAGGUAAGUAGAUCUGACUUAUCUCAACAGAAGAAUGAGUGGAUACCAGCCUAAUCCUUGAACUCCCACAGACUCCUCCUUCCUAAUAAUGCAACGACCUGCACUGCCAUAUAGCUGUGAUAUUCUUUCUUCCUC
Molecule: long non-coding RNA, 612 nt
Filed under: Fukomys damarensis (Damara mole-rat)
Lineage: Eukaryota; Metazoa; Chordata; Mammalia; Rodentia; Bathyergidae
Description: lncRNA (ENSFDAG00000031760.1)
Source: RNAcentral